This 339-nucleotide unclassified non-coding RNA is filed under the name soil metagenome. RNAcentral describes it as "partial contains 5.8S ribosomal RNA, internal transcribed spacer 2, and large subunit ribosomal RNA". The stretch from base 1 to 120 matches the Rfam family "5.8S ribosomal RNA", at positions 35 to 154 of the family's 154-position model. The record is from RNAcentral.
GAUGAAGAACGUAGCGAAAUGCGAUACGUAAUGUGAAUUGCAGAAUUCAGUGAAUCAUCGAGUCUUUGAACGCACAUUGCGCCCCCUGGUAUUCCGGGGGGCAUGCCUGUCCGAGCGUCAUUGCAACCCUCAAGCGCGGCUUGUGUGUUGGGCUUCGUCCCCCCGUGGACGUGCCCGAAAGGCAGUGGCGGCGUCCCGAAUGGUGCCCGAGCGUAUGGGAACUCUCUUCCGCUCGAACCGGCCCAUUCGGCGCUGGUCGAACCCCAAUUUUUUUUUACCGGUUGACCUCGGAUCAGGUAGGGAUACCCGCUGAACUUAAGCAUAUCAAUAAGCGGAGGA